RNAcentral lists this unclassified non-coding RNA (406 nucleotides) under soil metagenome. Its description in RNAcentral is "partial contains 5.8S ribosomal RNA, internal transcribed spacer 2, and large subunit ribosomal RNA". The stretch from base 2 to 121 matches the Rfam family "5.8S ribosomal RNA", at positions 36 to 154 of the family's 154-position model. The record is from RNAcentral.
UAUGAAGAACGCAGCGAAAUGCGAUAAGUAAUGUGAAUUGCAGAAUUCAGUGAAUCAUCGAAUCUUUGAACGCACCUUGCGCCCUUUGGCCAUUCCGAAGGGCAUGCCUGUUUGAGUAUCAUGAACACCUCAACUCUUCAUGGUUUUCCGUGAUGAGCUUGGACUUUGGGGGUCUUGCUGGCCUAUGGUCAGCUCCUCUAAAAUAAAUCAGCUUGCCAGUGUUUGGUGGGUAUCACAGGUGUGAUAACUAUCUACGCUUGUGGUUUUCCACCAGGUAACCUUCAGCAGUGGAGGUUCGCUGGAGCUCACAGAUGUGUCUCUCCUCAGUGAGGACAGCUCUUUGAAUGUUUGAUCUCAAAUCAGGUAGGACUACCCGCUGAACUUAAGCAUAUCAAUAAGCGGAGGA